RNAcentral lists this ribosomal RNA (488 nucleotides) under Veillonella parvula. RNAcentral describes it as "bacterial SSU rRNA". It matches the Rfam family "Bacterial small subunit ribosomal RNA", at positions 28 to 485 of the family's 1533-position model. Lineage: Bacteria; Bacillati; Bacillota; Negativicutes; Veillonellales; Veillonellaceae. The record is from RNAcentral.
GACGAACGCUGGCGGCGUGCUUAACACAUGCAAGUCGAACGAAGAGCGAUGGAAGCUUGCUUCUAUCAAUCUUAGUGGCGAACGGGUGAGUAACGCGUAAUCAACCUGCCCUUCAGAGGGGGACAACAGUUGGAAACGACUGCUAAUACCGCAUACGAUCUAAUCUCGGCAUCGAGGAUAGAUGAAAGGUGGCCUCUACAUGUAAGCUAUCACUGAAGGAGGGGAUUGCGUCUGAUUAGCUAGUUGGAGGGGUAACGGCCCACCAAGGCGAUGAUCAGUAGCCGGUCUGAGAGGAUGAACGGCCACAUUGGGACUGAGACACGGCCCAGACUCCUACGGGAGGCAGCAGUGGGGAAUCUUCCGCAAUGGACGAAAGUCUGACGGAGCAACGCCGCGUGAGUGAUGACGGCCUUCGGGUUGUAAAGCUCUGUUAAUCGGGACGAAAGGCCUUCUUGCGAAUAGUGAGAAGGAUUGACGGUACCGGAAUA